GCGGCCGUGGUGACGCGGUAGCACGGGCCUCUGAUGUGCAAGGCGAUCGCCAGGCGCGGGUUCGAACCCCGUCGGCCGCU
This is a transfer RNA of 80 nucleotides. It matches the Rfam family "tRNA". Rfam says of the family: Transfer RNA (tRNA) molecules are approximately 80 nucleotides in length.